UAGCACCAACGGAAAUCAGGUUAAAAACCGGCGCGAUUGUCCUUUUACUUUUUUUUUAGAAAUGUGCAAAUUCUUGUCAAAUACAUUUACUGAAUAAUGUUCCUUUAACAGGGUUUAUACGGGAAGUUCAUUUCAAUACCUUUUCAAGACUUUUCUCAAUACUUUUUAAUACCUCACACCAACUGGGAGUUGUAACCAUUGACAUCAGCGACAUGUUUAACUUAACAGUUUUAGUUUAUGAUAAAGAUAUAAACCACUAUCACACAACAGAAUCCAAAUAGGCUCAGAAAAUGAAUCAAAAACACAUGUUUAGUGUAUAAAAAACACUGGCAAACGCGCCCUUAGCAGUCUAGUUUUUAAUAAGUUAAUAAAUUCACACACUUUCAAUGUUUUUGGACUCAAAGUCAACACUUACCUCAAAAAUAUCUUUAAAUAUUUAGACCUCAUAAAGUCAUAAAGCCAUAAAGACCUCAUAAAGUGGUGAUAAGGGUCUUAAUUUAUGUGUGCACUAGAAAUGUCCUCCAAGAUUAAAUUAAAAACACAAGACAAAAAAAAACACUUCCUCUGUGUGAAGACAACACCCACACAUAUAUGUGGGUUUUGUUCUCGGAGUUCGUCAUGUGCAAAGAGGAAGGAAGCUGCAUAAAAGAUGUGUGUGUGUGUUUAACCGAGAGGCUUCGAGAACGUUUGCUGCUGCGUCAACGGGUUAAAAGCUGCCGAAAGAGGAAGGAAACCGAGUUUUGAUGUAUGUGUGUGAAUGUGUGUGUGUGUGUGUGUGUAUAUGUGUAUGUGUACGUGUGUAUAUGUGUGUGUGUGUGUGUGUGUGUGUGUGUGUGUGUGUGUUCUACAGAAAACAGUGAAGGCUGCAGACUCAGGUUGAUCGGGGCACAGUGGGAGGGAAGGAAGGAAGGAAGGAAGGAAGGAAGGAAGGAAGGAAAGAGGGAAGGAAGGAAGGAAAGAAGGAAGGAAGGAAAGAAGGAAGGAAUAUCAAACACAGGUGAAAGCACUAACAGCUCUAACAGAAAACAGACACCGACGUUACAUUGGUGACGGAUUCUUACUGCUAUUAGACACAACUAACAGUGUGAAAAUACACAAAACUUCAAAUGUUAACGUGGAGCUUUGGUGAGAGUUAAGAAAACUUGAAAUCUUUUCUGUGUGAAAGCCAAUGGAAACCAAUGGAAGCUAAUGGAAG
This is a long non-coding RNA of Mugil cephalus (flathead mullet), 1195 nucleotides long. RefSeq lists it as uncharacterized. The transcript has 2 exons. The record is from RefSeq and is a predicted model, not a curated record. NCBI's taxonomy places the organism in Eukaryota, Metazoa, Chordata, Actinopteri, Mugiliformes, Mugilidae.